UGCCCGCCGGAGUGCCGAAACCAAACUCUUGAUAUUUUAUGUCUCUCUGAGUAAACUUUUAAAUAAGUCAAAACUUUCAACAACGGAUCUCUUGGUUCUGGCAUCGAUGAAGAACGCAGCGAAAUGCGAUAAGUAAUGUGAAUUGCAGAAUUCAGUGAAUCAUCGAAUCUUUGAACGCACAUUGCGCUCGCCAGUAUUCUGGCGAGCAUGCCUGUUCGAGCGUCAUUUCAACCAUCAAGCUCUGCUUGCGUUGGGGAUCCGCGGCUGCCCGCGGUCCCUCAAAAACAGUGGCGGGCUCGCUAGUCACACCGAGCGUAGUAACUCUACAUCGCUAUGGUCGUGCGGCGGGUUCUUGCCGUAAAACCCCCCAAUUUCUAAGGUUGACCUCGGAUCAGGUAGGAAUACCCGCUGAACUUAAGCAUAUCAAUAAGCGGAGGAAAAGAAACCAACAGGGAUUGCCCUAGUAACGGCGAGUGAAGCGGCAACAGCUCAAAUUUGAAAUCUGGCUUCGGCCCGAGUUGUAAUUUGUAGAGGAAGCUUUUGGUGAGGCACCUUCUGAGUCCCCUGGAACGGGGCGCCAUAGAGGGUGAGAGCCCCGUAUAGUCGGAUGCCGAUCCAAUGUAAAGCUCCUUCGACGAGUCGAGUAGUUUGGGAAUGCUGCUCAAAAUGGGAGGUAAAUUUCUUCUAAAGCUAAAUACCGGCCAGAGACCGAUAGCGCACAAGUAGAGUGAUCGAAAGAUGAAAAGCACUUUGAAAAGAGGGUUAAAUAGCACGUGAAAUUGUUGAAAGGGAAGCGUUUGUGACCAGACUUGCGCCGUUCCGAUCAUCCGGUGUUCUCACCGGUGCACUCGGGACGGCUCAGGCCAGCAUCGG
RNAcentral lists this ribosomal RNA (873 nucleotides) under Sordariomycetes sp. genotype 71. Its description in RNAcentral is "eukaryotic LSU rRNA". The stretch from base 382 to 873 matches the Rfam family "Eukaryotic large subunit ribosomal RNA", at positions 1 to 505 of the family's 3401-position model. Lineage: Eukaryota; Fungi; Ascomycota; Sordariomycetes. The record is from RNAcentral.